CAACAGCUCAAUUGAAUUCUGCGCAGCCGAGUGUAAUUUGUAGAGGAUGCUUCUGGGCAGCGCCCGUUUCUAAGUUCCUUGGAAACAGGACGUCAUAGAGGGUGAGAAUCCCGUAUGUGACCGGCGCGCACCCUCCACGUAGCUCCUUCGACGAGUCGAGUUGUUUGGGAAUGCAGCUCUAAAUGGGAGGUAAAUUUCUUCUAAAAGCUAAAUACCGCCCAGAGACCGAUAGCGCACAAGUAGAGUGAUCGAAAGAUGAAAACCACUUUCGAAAGAAGAGUUAAAAACCACGUGAAAUUGUUGAAAGGGAAGCGCUGGCAACCAGACUUCGCGGCGGUGUUCCGCCGGUCUUUUGACCGGUCUACCCCCCGCCGCGAGGCCAACAUCGUCGGGGGCCGCCGGAUAAGACCAUGGGAAUGUGGCUCCCUCGGGAGUGUUAUAGCCCACGGUGAUGCGGCGUGUCCCGGGCGAGGUCCGCGCUUCGGCAAGGAUGUUGGCGUAAUGGUUGCCAGCGGCCCGUCUUGAAACACGGACCAAGGAGUCUAACAUCUAUGCGAGUGUUCGGGUGUCAAACCCCUACGCGUAAUGAAAGUGAACGGAGGUGGGAGCUCCGCCCCAACAGACACAGACCCG
This 633-nucleotide ribosomal RNA is filed under the name Paramycosphaerella marksii. Its description in RNAcentral is "eukaryotic LSU rRNA". It matches the Rfam family "Eukaryotic large subunit ribosomal RNA", at positions 102 to 762 of the family's 3401-position model. The record is from RNAcentral. Lineage: Eukaryota; Fungi; Ascomycota; Dothideomycetes; Mycosphaerellales; Mycosphaerellaceae.